AUUGUUUAACCGAUACGUAAUCCGGCGUAGGAUCUUCGUGAGGAUGGUGGGCAGAAUAUAAUGGUGGUCACAUGCCCGCGGGUCGCGAGUGCUCGCUCCGUCUGCAGAGAGAAAAUAAUGUGAUGUUUUUGUAUCAUACGAUAUACAGACAGGCGGCCUGGACUGUUUGCCUGAGGCGUCUGGCAGGAUGUAACGAGGAGUCCGAGAGUUGCCUGUGGGUCCACAUAUUUUAGGGCGCGCCCUCCCUGCACCCUCCCUACCACUGAUUUGGCCCUACGUGUCUUUGAAACGGGUCGUGUUGUGCCCAAGGCGAAGGCCGCAGUUACCCACCUCUUUCUCAGUUUCUUCCCCUCCCUCCGCCCGCUCCCCCCCACCUUUCUUCCUCCUUCGGACAAAGCUUCAUACGAAUCAUAUACAUUGGUCGUAUUGUAUGUACAUGCAUGCCAUCUUCUCUCUUAUGUACAUCGAUCGCGUAAUCGCUCUUCAUACGCGGACGCUUCGUUUCGAGUGGAUUCUAUAUAUUAUAUGAACGGCUUGUAUGACUGCGCUUUUCUUUCAUCGAUUCCUUAUGGGAUUUAUGGGUCUUGUAAUUCAGGCGGGGGGAAAGGGGGAUUCUUUAUUUUAUCGUAAUAGGCAGUUGAUUUAUGGGCGAAACUUCGGAAAGGGGUGGAAUCUCUUCCUGGGUUUUGGUGAGACGAAUGGAAGUUUAAUAACUCGUGUGUGUCUUCCUGAUGAAAGUUUCAGGACAGUUGAUAAAUUGAUGGAAGAGAUACUGAGAACGGGUAGUUUGGUUAUGAAUGAGAAUUAUUGGUAUUUACUAAAAAGAAAAAAAAAAAAAGUCGAUUUUUGUUAGAAAUUUAUGAUCGGUCGUUUAAUAAUGUUAUCUAUGUGAAUUUAUAGGAGGUGGGUCAUCUGCUUAUAAUGCACCCACCUAUUCUCAGCAAUGGAUGUCUAGGUGAUAAUUAAUGUCCGGUUCAUGGACACAGCUUUUGUUCUUUGACGUCCAUGAGUAUAAGUUACGUGUUACCAAUUACGUUCCCACGAUUAAUUAAGAGUUUGCCAAGGUACAGGGUGGGGAUAGGGGAGAAGCUAUUAAAAUUGAAUCCUUAGCUUAUCCCUAGAAAUCGGUACGGGUUGGUGGCAGAGCCCAUAAGUUUCUCCUAGAGGGUAACAGAGCUGAGAGAGAACCAUUAGGAUUGCCAAGAGGGACGAUUAUUUCGAUUAAGUCCAAGAAAAGGUUUCGCUAUUCGGCAAUCGUUUAAUGAAUUCGAUAAAAACGGAAAAUAGUGAUAGCUGACAUUUAGCCAGGCACUGAGCAGUGGCGUAAAAAAUCUUUGACCUUUUGAAACUCACGCUACCUGGGGAUUUGUCCUAUCCGGGAUAUCAUCCUCCAUUAACCUCACGCUGAAAGCACCGAUUGUCGCGAGUGAAGUUUUCUUUAUCGUAAUGGCAUUGUUAUUGUAUGGAGAGACUAGCGUCGUCUGUUCCCUAUGAAAAAAAAUCCGAUAAACUCGAUGACCAAUGCUUCGUUCUCGAUACACGAUACUUGUGUACAUUCUGCAUACACGCAACGAGAUCUCUUAGCGAUCCACUCUUCGUCGCGUGACCCAUGGUGGGUGUAUGUUUAACCUUUUCGAUGGCAGGGCAAGAGCCGGAGGAGUCGGCUGAUCACCCACGCAAGCGAAUGUAAAUUACCGGAGGCUGUGAAUCAUUGUGAGAAGACCGGACAGCCUCGGGGCUUCGUAGCACUUACAUAAGAACACGCCUUGAGAAAGGCAGGCGGCUCCCAUAGAUGGCCGUGGGACGCGCUUCGGGCCUCAACUCCCAUCUUAUGCGGCAUCGCUGCCCACCAAUAACGCUCUCAAGAUCUUUCAAGGUUUUAGGAAUAAUAGGUAUAUACAGCUAAGCAUCCUGGUAUCCGAGGAAGAAUCGUACAAUCAGAUCUGGCAGACAUUAUUAUCGGUCCAGCGUCCGUAAUGCAUUUCACGGCGAGUACAAGUCUCAUAAGGAAGUUCUUCGAGGGAUCUGGUACUAGAUCAGAUCACACUAUCUUUUUUUUUUACAGGGUAUCGAUCUAUCUCAAUGAAGCCAUAUCAGGAUAUGGUAAAGAAGCGAUUCUACGUACCCGAAUAAUGAUCUCAUCAAGGAGCCAAGGGACGCCUAAGUCACUAUUGAUAAAGCCAGGUCGUCUAAGGUCAAAAGUGCAUGAUGCUCGAGCCACGCAGACAAAGGACAGAGGGCCCAGGAUCUCUCAUCCGAAGGAGACGAAGGAACCCUUGCUAGUAGAUCCAAUAUUUUUUCGCGGUACACUGUAAAGUCUCCUUAUAGGCAGUUGUCCCGCGGCGACUCGUGAGGAUCGUGAGGGCUCGUACGACAGAGGGAGAAGCAAGUAAGAGAACCGCGGCUGACGGAGGAAGAGAGGAGAACAAGUACGAGGAUGAGGAUGAGAUGGAUAGGCCGUGGCCCGUUGCUGCGGGGGCGUUCGAGACCGUGUAGAGCAUUGCGGAGCAUUACCGGAGCACUGAAGAAGAACGAAGAGAGAAUGGAGCCGAGGUUUGCCUCGCUGUACCACAGCAUCCCAUUCCUUCUUCGCUUGCCCUCAGCGCCCGCCUCUCACUGCAAUUAGGGAAUUGCCUGGGGUACCUCGCAUUCAUCGCAAUGCAACUGCGCCUUCCUGACAUGCUCUCGCUUCGAUUCCCUUCGGUAGCUGCCUACCUCUUGCUACGGCGAUAUUACUCGUCGAGGAGGAGUUAUCGUUCGAUUUCUGAAGGAGGAGGAACGUCUCAAUUCGUUACCACGUCGGCCGUGUGUUGGUUAACUGUGCCAUCUGCAAUCGCUACGUCAUCGAAUCGGAGAUUUAAUGCGUGGCGUCGGUAGCCUGUCUUUACAUUCGAGAUCUCGCACCGGAACCUGUCGUGACGAACGGCCCCUUAUUACACGUUGCGGCACUACUCGUAAAAACAUAGCCGCCUUUUGAUUGACACCUUCGCGGUAUCGGGUUGUGCACCUUUCCGUCACUGGCGUUACCAGUUAAAAGUCUGUAGUACGGUGGUAGAUAAAUUCGUAUACGAUAAGCACAGUAUCUUUUAUUCACAAACAAUAUUCUAUAUGGCAUGACAUAAAAUGGUACCUCGGAGCGUCCUUUGAUUUUCUUAAUUUUUAACUGCAAAUCAUCAAUAAGAUAAUAUACCUGACUAUGGGUAUUCUCGUAACAGACCUAAAGGCUACAGUAGUGCCUGCGAUAUCAGGUGACUUCGGCUAGCUGUACUAGAACGUGGCGAUAUUCCAGUAAGGAGAAACGUCACCUCGUAUAUAGAUUCAUGAGAUCAAUUCUGGUCUUUAACACCCGUAUCAAGAUCAUCUCCACAUAUUUAAUUCGUGAUCAAGUCGCCACGGCUACCUGUGCUAUGCAGACACUCCUGGCUCCGAGUCCAAGCACUUAGCGGCACUCAACCUCGAGAAGUUAGUCGCGUGUGAGUCGCCGCGGAAGGAGACGAGAGACGUAAAAAUAGUCGUGCGUUCUUCGUUAAUAUUUCAUUUUGUGCUUAUCGCUUCCUUGGAGCCGUUGCCACGGAACGCCCGAGGGCAUCGUUACUGGCUACGCGAGAGGGCCUUGGUCCGCCAGCCUGGUGCCGCCUUGCCGCAGGCAGCGCUAGGGCGCAUUGUCUCGCUCAUGCCUUCGGGUCCUUCUCCGUCUCUCUCCGUCUCCUUCCAAUCCCCUCGCUCCCUCUCACCUCUCUAUAGCCGUAGGCCCUGCUCAUCCCUAGGACCACACCGUUCCCUACGAACGUCCCUACCCGUCUUCCCAACGGCAAACCUGACUCCCCAUGGCUGGGCGUCCUGCCGCCGGCAGCGGUGCGCGCUAUCCACUAUCUUCAGCCGUUUCCGUACCCGCAGCGACCGAGCUUGUCCGGUCCCCGGGGCUUCUCCUCGACCCUCAGCCUCCCUCGUCCUCUGCGCGCGCGGCAUCCUUCAAGCGAACCAUGAUUCCCGCUGCGCCUCGGGGAACCGAAAUGGCUCUACCUUGCGUCUGCCUGCAGUGCCCUCGGCAAAUCUCCCUCCCACCAGUCCUCCUUCUUACCUUUUCCACGAUCCUUCCACCUCGUGCCAGUGUUACCACCGCUGGCACAGCCCGCCACAGGCAUCACCGCCACCACCACCACCACC
This is a long non-coding RNA of Cephus cinctus (wheat stem sawfly), 4167 nucleotides long. RefSeq lists it as uncharacterized. Lineage: Eukaryota; Metazoa; Arthropoda; Insecta; Hymenoptera; Cephidae. The record is from RefSeq and is a predicted model, not a curated record. The transcript is spliced from 3 exons.